UGGCCCCUUCGACCUGCGCUCCGCGCUCUGGCGCUACGGUCUGGCCGUCGGCUGCGGCGCCAUCGGGUAUAGCACAAUAAGAAACCGACAAAAACAGCAGCUGAUGACUCACUCCAACAACGCACAGCACCAGAAGGCAAGGAAAUCAAACCUCAGAGGCUAAAUGUUCCAUGACUUCUCCAAGAUCAUGAAGAGCCGCCAGCUGUAUGGGGAACAAGGCCUGGAUCCCACCCCAAAGACAUGGAUUGGAGACCCACCCCUUGGUGACCCUAGACCCGCCAAUAGAUCGUUGUGAAGCUGCAGUUUCCCUAUCUGUAAAAUGGGAGCAUUUAGUCCACCAGCGCGAAAGGCACGGAGGGAGUUUCCCUAUUAUAUGACCGUACACGAAAUCUAGACUGUGACCAAAGUCUCCCGCUCCUCAGCCUCCUCUCCUCCGCAUCCUCAGCCACUAGUCACGCUGGAGAGGAGGCGUGGGAACUGACCUCCGCGGGCCGGGCCUCGGCAACGCGCAUCCUCCCACCCGGCCUAGCCCAGCCCAGAUCGGGGAGGGGGUGCGCGGGGGG
Molecule: long non-coding RNA, 563 nt
Filed under: Homo sapiens (human)
Lineage: Eukaryota; Metazoa; Chordata; Mammalia; Primates; Hominidae
Description: non-protein coding lnc-TMEM223-1:1
Source: RNAcentral